CUGAGGUUGAAUAUAGGGUUAAAUCAGUAUAGAUUUGAUUAACAUUCAAAUAAAUCCAGAUAAUACAUUCACAAUUGGAAUCAUGGCAUUAUGGUACACUGAUAUGUGUGUACCAUUUUACUGGAGUUUUUUUUUUUUUUUUUUGCUGCAUAACUAGGGAUCGUAUACAUACAAAAUGAGACAAAACAAUUUCUAAUUAGUUUCUAAUUAUAAGGUAUGACACGUUUUAAGGUAUGGUGGCCAAUACUGAUUUUAUUUGCAAUUUUCUUUCAGAUAUGGGACCCUAUUAUUCGGAAAACUGCAGAUUUUAUGAAACUGUCUUUGACAGAAGAUUUGGUUUUCUCCAUCUGUGUUGCCACCAACCAUUAUGCUGAGAUGGUCAUAUCUAGGGGGAAGGGUUGCCAUAUACUUCCCAAGGAAGCUUGUAGCCUCUCACUGAAGAGGAACUGUACAAAUUUUUGUGCAUUAUCUUAUACACGCCUGCUGUGAAGUUCCAGUCGAUAGACAGAUAUUUGUCAACGCAUGCCCCUGUCGGAACAUUUCAUUAUCAAGAAUUAUGUCUUGAAAUAGGUUUCAAGAGGUUGAAUAUAAAACAUUUUUGUUAAAUAUGAUGCAAGUACAUUUAAAUCUAGUGAUUGAAAGUAAGUACUUGAACAUUCGUAUAUGUUGAACUUGGAGAGGAAAAAUGGUUAGUACUUUUUGAUAACAUUUGAUAAGGUGUUGUUGCUUAGGAACCAAAUCUAAUUGAAUAAAAAAAUAUAUUAUUUUAGAUUAACAAUAAUUGAAAGAUCUUUGUUUUAAUGUUGCAAUACUUAUUCUAUUUAAUAGAACAUAAUGUCAAAACGUCAUAUUAUUAGAAAAUGAUGGACAAGUAUAUAAAGUACGAAAUUUCCAUUUGAUGACCUUUGACCUUAAUUCUCUUCAUCAUAUUUUUUGUUAAAAACCUUUUAAAAUGAUUAAGAUCUAUUUAAAGAUUAUAUUUUUAAAAUAAUGUGACAUUUACUAAUCAUCAUGGAUUGUAAUUACGUUUAAAUUGUGUCGAAUGGAUGCAGAAAGGCAAAUUAUGGUCAAAAUUGUACUAUGAGUGUUGUUACUUAGCAACCAAAAAUAUUUGUUUAUCAAUAAAAUUGAUUAGUUUGA
Ostrea edulis (European flat oyster) is the source of this 1140-nucleotide long non-coding RNA. RefSeq lists it as uncharacterized. Lineage: Eukaryota; Metazoa; Mollusca; Bivalvia; Ostreida; Ostreidae. The transcript is spliced from 2 exons. The record is from RefSeq and is a predicted model, not a curated record.